Molecule: microRNA, 22 nt
Filed under: Glycine max (soybean)
Lineage: Eukaryota; Viridiplantae; Streptophyta; Magnoliopsida; Fabales; Fabaceae
Description: gma-miR5780c
Source: miRBase by way of RNAcentral
UUUAAUAUAUCAGGGACUUGGA